UACGUAGGGGGCGAGCGUUGUCCGGAAUCAUUGGGCGUAAAGCGCGUGUAGGCGGCCCGGUAAGUCCGCUGUGAAAGUCCAGGGCUCAACCCUGGGAUGCCGGUGGAUACUGUCGGGCUUGAGUCCGGAAGGGGCGAGUGGAAUUCCUGGUGUAGCGGUGAAAUGCGCAGAUAUCAGGAGGAACACCAAUGGCGAAGGCAGCUCGCUGGAACGGUACUGACGCUGAGGCGCGAAAGCGUGGGGAGCGAACAGG
This 253-nucleotide ribosomal RNA is filed under the name uncultured bacterium. RNAcentral describes it as "partial 16S ribosomal RNA". It matches the Rfam family "Bacterial small subunit ribosomal RNA", at positions 524 to 776 of the family's 1533-position model. The record is from RNAcentral.